UGAAGGUGGGAUAACUGUAAAUGCAAGUGGAUAGUAUUGGCUAAUUCAGAAUUUCAACGAAUGAGAUUAUUCUUUCUCUAUGACAAUCAAAAACUCACCUGUCCAAUUAUCAACGUUUGAAGUUGUCUAUCAAGUGUAAUUUUAACCAGUCGAUUCACAGUUCGUGAUCCCUACCUCUUUGAGGUUCCACCUUAUAGAGUUUCCUCUUAAAUAACCUGCUGCAAGCGACGAAACUCCAUUAAACGAAAGGAGAAAAAAAAAGAAGCUGCGGCGAUGAAACUCCAUUAGACAAAAGAAGAAGAAGCGACGAAACUAAUUGCUCGUAUUUUUGACAAUGGAAGACCUAGGACAUCCCCGCUGGUUCAGUAGACAGUGGAAUAGACAUGUUGAUGGUAUUUGAAUAUGAACUGAGAGCAGGCUGGCUGUGUGGCUGAAGUAGGGCAGCUGACUCGAGAACAAGGGGCUCAGGUUUAUGAGGCUGCAGAGAUCAGCAGGACUCAACAUGGAAAACUGUUAGAGUUCAUCAUAAAGGGCCAUGGAGCAGAUGAUCACUUGCUGGCUGUUGUAUCUGAAAAUGUGUCAUCCAGAUGGUUUAAAAACAAUGAAGAUCCUAAAGGUCACCGGGUAAUGACCUCUAUACAGUAGAAGAUGAGGAGCUGACAGAUGGCCUCUACAACUACCUGAUGAAGUGCUGUCAAGAGCUGUAGGUACUUAUGAAAAGAUCAACAGAGUUCACAUCAUUCUGGAUGUGCUUGUUUGGCUUUAGUGAGUCUCUAAUGAGUACAGAAAGUGUCUCUAUGUGUAACGUCCUCUCUGUUUCUGUGUUUGUGAUCGGCUCUUAUUAAAGCUCGAGGAACAGUUGAGAGGAUUUCUCUAGCAGAGGCAGAAGGUCUUGUUCAUUGAUGGACCAGCAGACAGUGAGUGGAACGUCAUGUGGUGUUGGGGAGCAGACAGUCCUUUCUUUUUCUUUUCAGCACCAUUAUUCUGUUAAACAGAAUACCAUUUUACUUGUAGUGAAUUUAGACAAGAAUAUAAACUAAAUACAUAUAAAUGUAAAUAUAUGUUUAAAGUGAAAUUUAAAAUAUGCAUUAAUACCCAUUUAGUAUUGGUAAAAGUACUUUUUUUUUUUUUUUUUAAAGUGAGCGAAGAGUUUGACAAACUUGAGCUUCAACUGUUGGAGUACCAAAGACAGACAGCAUCACUGAGGCAUUUAAACUUGGGAUUCCAUAUUAACGCCUCCUCUAAUAAACGUGUCACUUGCUUUAUUUGUCUUUGGCCUUUUUUGUUUCUGAGUGUUAAACUGACUGUGCAUAAUAGAAUUGUGUAUAUUUGAUUUAACUAUUGAUGUAACUAAUAAAGGACACUUUGUUGAUUAA
Molecule: long non-coding RNA, 1376 nt
Organism: Erpetoichthys calabaricus (reedfish)
Lineage: Eukaryota; Metazoa; Chordata; Cladistia; Polypteriformes; Polypteridae
Exons: 4
Source: RefSeq, a predicted model, not a curated record